This 571-nucleotide ribosomal RNA is filed under the name Priestia megaterium. RNAcentral's name for it is "bacterial SSU rRNA". It matches the Rfam family "Bacterial small subunit ribosomal RNA", at positions 1 to 556 of the family's 1533-position model. The record is from RNAcentral. Lineage: Bacteria; Bacillati; Bacillota; Bacilli; Caryophanales; Bacillaceae.
UCGGAGAGUUUGAUCCUGGCUCAGGAUGAACGCUGGCGGCGUGCCUAAUACAUGCAAGUCGAGCGAACUGAUUAGAAGCUUGCUUCUAUGACGUUAGCGGCGGACGGGUGAGUAACACGUGGGCAACCUGCCUGUAAGACUGGGAUAACUUCGGGAAACCGAAGCUAAUACCGGAUAGGAUCUUCUCCUUCAUGGGAGAUGAUUGAAAGAUGGUUUCGGCUAUCACUUACAGAUGGGCCCGCGGUGCAUUAGCUAGUUGGUGAGGUAACGGCUCACCAAGGCAACGAUGCAUAGCCGACCUGAGAGGGUGAUCGGCCACACUGGGACUGAGACACGGCCCAGACUCCUACGGGAGGCAGCAGUAGGGAAUCUUCCGCAAUGGACGAAAGUCUGACGGAGCAACGCCGCGUGAGUGAUGAAGGCUUUCGGGUCGUAAAACUCUGUUGUUAGGGAAGAACAAGUACAAGAGUAACUGCUUGUACCUUGACGGUACCUAACCAGAAAGCCACGGCUAACUACGUGCCAGCAGCCGCGGUAAUACGUAGGUGGCAAGCGUUAUCCGGAAUUAUUG